This 310-nucleotide ribosomal RNA is filed under the name Streptomyces sp. Its description in RNAcentral is "bacterial SSU rRNA". It matches the Rfam family "Bacterial small subunit ribosomal RNA", at positions 76 to 388 of the family's 1533-position model. Lineage: Bacteria; Bacillati; Actinomycetota; Actinomycetes; Kitasatosporales; Streptomycetaceae. The record is from RNAcentral.
CACUUCGGUGGGGAUUAGUGGCGAACGGGUGAGUAACACGUGGGCAAUCUGCCCUUCACUCUGGGACAAGCCCUGGAAACGGGGUCUAAUACCGGAUAACACUUCCACUCUCCUGAGUGGGUGGUUAAAAGCUCCGGCGGUGAAGGAUGAGCCCGCGGCCUAUCAGCUUGUUGGUGAGGUAAUGGCUCACCAAGGCGACGACGGGUAGCCGGCCUGAGAGGGCGACCGGCCACACUGGGACUGAGACACGGCCCAGACUCCUACGGGAGGCAGCAGUGGGGAAUAUUGCACAAUGGGCGAAAGCCUGAUG